AGUUACAUUUAGUCAAAGACUGAAGUAAAUAGCUUCUUUCAUCUAAAUUAACUUACUAUCUUGAGUGUCUUGGGUGGUUUUCACAUUCUUGAAGUAAGGGUGAAAUUGUUGAUAACUGGAAGAUGUUCAAAAGCGAAGGCAAUCGCAACAAGACUCUGACGCUGAGGCACGAUGGCGUGGGGAUCAAAGAGGAUUAGAGACCUCGUAGUCCACGCUCUAAACAUGGGUGUUCAAUAUCUUGAGGAUCGAUAGAUCUUUGGGGAAUUUACAGCUAACGCGUCAAACACCCGCUGGGGAAUGUGGCCGCAAGGUUUAAACUCAACGGAAUUGACGGUGACUCAUACAAGGGGUGGAGAUGUGGUUUAAAGUUAACGCGCGAAACACWUAUUUACAAAUAUUUAAAAUAUUAAAAAAGAGGGGAGUGCUUAAAACUGCCCUAUGUACUCGCUAAAGCUCGUACUCUAUUGAAGCUCGUUCCUCGCUUCGUGGNGCAGUUUUUGGUUAAUCCUGUUUGUGAAAUCUAAAAGCAAAAGCAUUGGUAA
RNAcentral lists this ribosomal RNA (542 nucleotides) under Fuligo candida. RNAcentral describes it as "SSU rRNA". It matches the Rfam family "Bacterial small subunit ribosomal RNA", at positions 581 to 1035 of the family's 1533-position model. Lineage: Eukaryota; Evosea; Eumycetozoa; Physariida; Physaraceae. The record is from RNAcentral.